CCUACGGGCGGCAGCAGUGAGGAAUAUUGGUCAAUGGGAGAGAUCCUGAACCAGCCAAGCCGCGUGAGGGAAGACGGCCCUAUGGGUUGUAAACCUCUUUUGUCGGAGAACAAAACCCGGGACGUGUCCCGGACUGCGUGUAUCCGAAGAAACAGCAUCGGCUAACUCCGUGCCAGCAGCCGCGGUAAUACGGAGGAAGCGAGCGUUAUACGGAUUUAUUGGGUUUAAAGGGUGCGUAGGCGGUCCGUUAAGUCAGCGGGAAAAUUGCGGGGCUCAACCCCGUCGAGCCGUUGAAACUGGCAGACUUGAGUUGGCGAGAAGUACGCGGAAUGCGCGGUGUAGCGGUGAAAUGCAUAGAUAUCGCGCAGAACUCCGAUUGCGAAGGCAGCGUACCGGCGCCAGACUGACGCUGAGGCACGAAAGCGUGGGGAUCGAACAGGAUUAGAUACCCGAGUAGUC
Molecule: ribosomal RNA, 459 nt
Filed under: uncultured bacterium
Lineage: Bacteria
Description: partial 16S ribosomal RNA
Rfam family: Bacterial small subunit ribosomal RNA
Source: RNAcentral